Molecule: ribosomal RNA, 253 nt
Filed under: uncultured bacterium
Lineage: Bacteria
Description: partial 16S ribosomal RNA
Rfam family: Bacterial small subunit ribosomal RNA
Source: RNAcentral
UACGUAGGGUGCGAGCGUUAAUCGGAAUUACUGGGCGUAAAGCGUGCGUAGGCGGUUUGUCGCGUCUGCUGUGAAAACCUAAGGCUCAACCUUGGGCUUGCAGUGGGUACGGGCAGACUAGAGUGCGGUAGGGGUGACUGGAAUUCCUGGUGUAGCGGUGGAAUGCGCAGAUAUCAGGAGGAACACCGAUGGCGAAGGCAGCUCGCUGGGACGGUACUGACGCUGAGGCGCGAAAGCAUGGGUAGCGAACAGG